This 497-nucleotide ribosomal RNA is filed under the name uncultured bacterium. RNAcentral's name for it is "partial 16S ribosomal RNA". It matches the Rfam family "Bacterial small subunit ribosomal RNA", at positions 28 to 507 of the family's 1533-position model. The record is from RNAcentral.
GACGAACGCUGGCGGCGUGCCUAAUACAUGCAAGUUGAGCGAUGAAGAUUGGUGCUUGCACCAAUUUGAAGAGCAGCGAACGGGUGAGUAACGCGUGGGGAAUCUGCCUUUGAGCGGGGGACAACAUUUGGAAACGAAUGCUAAUACCGCAUAACAACUUUAAACAUAAGUUUUAAGUUUGAAAGAUGCAAUUGCAUCACUCAAAGAUGAUCCCGCGUUGUAUUAGCUAGUUGGUGAGGUAAAGGCUCACCAAGGCGAUGAUACAUAGCCGACCUGAGAGGGUGAUCGGCCACAUUGGGACUGAGACACGGCCCAAACUCAUACGGGAGGCAGCAGUAGGGAAUCUUCGGCAAUGGACGAAAGUCUGACCGAGCAACGCCGCGUGAGUGAAGAAGGUUUUCGGAUCGUAAAACUCGGUUGGUAGAGAAGAACGUUGGUGAGAGUGGAAAGCUCAUCAAGUGACGGUAACUACCCAGAAAGGGACGGCUAACUACGUG